Molecule: non-coding RNA, 123 nt
Organism: Mesocricetus auratus (golden hamster)
Lineage: Eukaryota; Metazoa; Chordata; Mammalia; Rodentia; Cricetidae
Source: Rfam
GUCUGUGACCAUACCACCCUGAUCGUGCCUGAUCUUGUCUGAUCUUGGAAACUAAGCAGGGUCAAACCUGGAUAGUACUUGGAUGGGAGACAAACUGUCAAAUUAAACUCUGUGAUACUUUCU